RNAcentral lists this long non-coding RNA (163 nucleotides) under Sinocyclocheilus anshuiensis. RNAcentral's name for it is "lncRNA (ENSSANG00000002019.1)". Lineage: Eukaryota; Metazoa; Chordata; Actinopteri; Cypriniformes; Cyprinidae. The record is from RNAcentral.
CUGGUACUAACAUCAGCAGCACCAAUACAACAGUCACACCAGAGAUGACCUCAGCUGCUGUUACCAACAUCUUCACCUCCCAUGAAAUAUUCACACCUGAGAUGAGCUACGCUGGUAAUGUAGUCUGAUGUUUCAUUUUAAUGUUUUAACUGAAUGUUUGUGA